UACGUAGGGGGCAAGCGUUGUCCGGAUUUAUUGGGCGUAAAGAGCGUGUAGGCGGCCAUGCAGGUCCGUUGUGAAAACUCGAGGCUCAACCUCGAGACGCCGAUGGAAACCGCAUGGCUAGAGUCCGGAAGAGGAGAGUGGAAUUCCUGGUGUAGCGGUGAAAUGCGCAGAUAUCAGGAGGAACACCGGUGGCGAAGGCGGGUCUCUGGGCCGAAACUGACGCUGAGGAGCGAAAGCGUGGGGAGCGAACAGG
RNAcentral lists this ribosomal RNA (253 nucleotides) under uncultured bacterium. RNAcentral's name for it is "partial 16S ribosomal RNA". It matches the Rfam family "Bacterial small subunit ribosomal RNA", at positions 524 to 776 of the family's 1533-position model. The record is from RNAcentral.